Molecule: unclassified non-coding RNA, 352 nt
Filed under: plant metagenome
Description: partial contains small subunit ribosomal RNA and internal transcribed spacer 1
Rfam family: Eukaryotic small subunit ribosomal RNA (bases 1-46)
Source: RNAcentral
AAGUCGUAACAAGGUAACCGUAGGUGAACCUGCGGUUGGAUCAUUAAAAAUUUCUUUGUGACCGCGCCGGAAUCCUGCUUCGGUGGGGAAGUACUGGUUUGCCAGUAUGACGGCGCGGGAUCAAAAAACACCCUGUGAACCAUUGAAAUGUCUAUUGGCGGUCGCGGUUUGUUCCAUCACUGCAGGGACCUUUAUCGGUUCUUUUAACCUCUGCUAGGAGAGGCUCUGGUGGCUGAAAGCUCUUAUUUGAGUGAAUCUGAUCGCGGUUCGCCAGCCUAGAUGAAAUACCAAAUAUUUUUUUAAUAUCUGACUUAUCAAAAUCUCUCUUAAUUGAAGAAACAAUGAGAAACAG